RNAcentral lists this non-coding RNA (87 nucleotides) under Pseudomonas sp. RNAcentral describes it as "c-di-GMP sequence". It matches the Rfam family "c-di-GMP-I riboswitch aptamer". Rfam says of the family: GEMM was predicted in a large-scale screen for bacterial structured RNA regulatory elements. Genes associated with GEMM are involved in a diverse array of functions, including chemotaxis regulation, signal transduction, secretion and chitin. Lineage: Bacteria; Pseudomonadati; Pseudomonadota; Gammaproteobacteria; Pseudomonadales; Pseudomonadaceae. RNAcentral also lists the same sequence under 1 other name. The record is from RNAcentral.
UUUAGACAAAAGCAAACCUGUGUGAAAACCAGGGGCGCAAAGCCACCGAUCUAAAGCCUCAAAGGCCAUGACAGCGGGGUUGCCUAG